AUCAAACGCUGGCGGCAUGCCUUACACAUGCAAGUCGAACGGCAGCACGGGAGCUUGCUCCUGGUGGCGAGUGGCGAACGGGUGAGUAAUACAUCGGAACGUACCCUGAAGUGGGGGAUAACGUAGCGAAAGUUACGCUAAUACCGCAUAUUCUGUGAGCAGGAAAGAGGGGGAUCGCAAGACCUCUUGCUUUAGGAGCGGCCGAUGUCGGAUUAGCUAGUUGGUGAGGUAAAGGCUCACCAAGGCGACGAUCCGUAGCGGGUCUGAGAGGAUGAUCCGCCACACUGGGACUGAGACACGGCCCAGACUCCUACGGGAGGCAGCAGUGGGGAAUUUUGGACAAUGGGCGCAAGCCUGAUCCAGCCAUGCCGCGUGAGUGAAGAAGGCCU
This 389-nucleotide ribosomal RNA is filed under the name uncultured bacterium. RNAcentral's name for it is "bacterial SSU rRNA". It matches the Rfam family "Bacterial small subunit ribosomal RNA", at positions 30 to 417 of the family's 1533-position model. The record is from RNAcentral.